AACACAACACAAUCUUCAUCAUCACACAAGACACAACAACAACAAUGAACAACAUCCUCAUCCUCAUCUGGACCAUUGCAGCUUUUAUUCAAGAAUCCAGAGGAAUCACUGUGACUCAGCCUAAAGUUAAAACUGUCCAGCUCGGUCAAACAGCUACAAUAGAGUGUAGUCUGGAUGUAGGACUAACCUCUAAUGAUUUGGCCUGGUAUCAGCAGAAACCUGGAGAAGCUCCUAAACUCCUCAUAUAUGACAUAAACAGCCUCCAGUCAGGAACUCCAUCUAGAUUCAGUGGCAGUGGAUCUAACAGUGAUUUCACUCUCACCAUCAGUGGAGUCCAGACUGAAGAUACAGGAGAUUAUUACUGUCAGAGUUACCACAGCAUCAACAGUAAAGCUGUGUUCACACAGUGA
Non-coding RNA from Sinocyclocheilus grahami, 410 nucleotides. Lineage: Eukaryota; Metazoa; Chordata; Actinopteri; Cypriniformes; Cyprinidae. The record is from the annotation of a RefSeq genome assembly.